Molecule: ribosomal RNA, 2110 nt
Filed under: Macrogyrus ellipticus
Lineage: Eukaryota; Metazoa; Arthropoda; Insecta; Coleoptera; Gyrinidae
Description: SSU rRNA
Rfam family: Eukaryotic small subunit ribosomal RNA
Source: RNAcentral
UUGUCUCAAAGAUUAAGCCAUGCAUGUCUCAGUACAAACUAACAUAAAGUGAAACCGCGAAAGGCUCAUUAAAUCAGUUAUGGUUCCUUAGAUCGUACCCACAUUUACUUGGAUAACUGUGGCAAUUCUAGAGCUAAUACAUGCAAACAGGGCUCCGUUCGGAGACGGACGGAGCGCUUUUAUUAGAUCAAAACCAAUCGGCGGCGGCGCCGUGUUAACGCGCGGCGUCCGUCCGCCGUCAUGACUGGUGACUCUGAAUAACUAGAUGCCGAUCGCACGGUCUCGCACCGGCGACGCGUCUUUCAAAUGUCUGCCUUAUCAACUGUCGAUGGUAGGUUCUGCGCCUACCAUGGUUGUUACGGGUAACGGGGAAUCAGGGUUCGAUUCCGGAGAGGGAGCCUGAGAAACGGCUACCACAUCCAAGGAAGGCAGCAGGCGCGCAAAUUACCCACUCCCGGCACGGGGAGGUAGUGACGAAAAAUAACGAUACGAGACUCAUCCGAGGCUUCGUAAUCGGAAUGAGUACACUUUAAAUCCUUUAACGAGGAUCAAUUGGAGGGCAAGUCUGGUGCCAGCAGCCGCGGUAAUUCCAGCUCCAAUAGCGUAUAUUAAAGUUGUUGCGUUUAAAAAGCUCGUAGUUGAAUUUGUGUCCCGCACUGUCGGUUCACCGCUCGCGGUGUUCAACUGGCACGCUCGCGGGACGUCCUGCCGGUGGGUCACUAUCGUCUGCACUCCCGUGCGCGUCGCUCCGCCGACGUCCGACAAGUGGCGGGUGGGUCGCGAGCCCACGACGGCCCGCGCGCGCCCGCGGUACCUGACAGGCGUCGGGGGAGGCCGCGCGGUUAGCGCGCGGUGUCCGUACGGUCACUCGUCCUCCGUCGCCCGGAAUGCUCGUGCGAGCGCGCGUCGCGCGCCCGACUCUGCAAUCCCGCCGCGGUGCUCUUGAUCGAGUGUCGAGGUGGGCCGGCACGUUUACUUUGAACAAAUUAGAGUGCUCAAAGCAGGCCAGUGACCAGCCUGAAUAUUGUGUGCAUGGAAUAAUGGAACAGGACCUCGGUUCUACUUUUGUUGGUUUUACGAAUACCCGAGGUAAUGAUUAAUAGGGAUGGCCGGGGGCAUUCGUAUUGCGACGUUAGAGGUGAAAUUCUUGGACCGUCGCAAGACGGACAUAAGCGAAAGCAUUUGCCAAAAAUGUUUUCAUUAAUCAAGAACGAAAGUCAGAGGUUCGAAGGCGAUCAGAUACCGCCCUAGUUCUGACCAUAAACGAUGCCAGCUGGCGAUCCGCCGAUGUUCCUCCGAUGACACGACGGGCAGCCUACGGGAAACCAAAGCUUUUGGGUUCCGGGGGAAGUAUGGUUGCAAAGCUGAAACUUAAAGGAAUUGACGGAAGGGCACCACCAGGAGUGGAGCCUGCGGCUUAAUUUGACUCAACACGGGAAACCUCACCAGGCCCGGACACCGGAAGGAUUGACAGAUUGAGAGCUCUUUCUUGAUUCGGUGGGUGGUGGUGCAUGGCCGUUCUUAGUUGGUGGAGCGAUUUGUCUGGUUAAUUCCGAUAACGAACGAGACUCUAGCCUGCUAAAUAGACGAACUCUUACCGGUAUCUGGAAGGCUCGCGUGCGGUCCGGGCCGUGCGUUGUCUCUCGGCUCGUGCGUGGCGUUCGUUUACACGUGCGUCCGCCCUGUCGAGGCGCGCCCGGUCCCGCGGCGUCCGCGGUUUUUACUACCGGCGUUCACUGAUCUCUUCUUAGAGGGACAGGCGGCUCCUAGCCGCACGAGAUUGAGCAAUAACAGGUCUGUGAUGCCCUUAGAUGUUCUGGGCCGCACGCGCGCUACACUGAAGGAAUCAGCGUGUCCUCCCUGGCCGAACGGUCCGGGUAACCCGCUGAACCUCCUUCGUGCUAGGGAUUGGGGCUUGCAAUUGUUCCCCAUGAACGAGGAAUUCCCAGUAAGCGCGAGUCAUAAGCUCGCGUUGAUUAAGUCCCUGCCCUUUGUACACACCGCCCGUCGCUACUACCGAUUGAAUGAUUUAGUGAGGUCUUCGGACCGGUACGCGGCGACGUUUCGACGCCGCCGAUGUCGCUGGGAAGAUGACCAAACUUGAUCAUUU